This 200-nucleotide ribosomal RNA is filed under the name uncultured bacterium. RNAcentral's name for it is "partial 16S ribosomal RNA". It matches the Rfam family "Bacterial small subunit ribosomal RNA", at positions 524 to 722 of the family's 1533-position model. The record is from RNAcentral.
UACGUAGGGUCCAAGCGUUAAUCGGAAUUACUGGGCGUAAAGCGUGCGCAGGCGGUUGUGCAAGACCGAUGUGAAAUCCCCGAGCUUAACUUGGGAAUUGCAUUGGUGACUGCACGGCUAGAGUGUGUCAGAGGGGGGUAGGAAUUCCACGUGUAGCAGUGAAAUGCGUAGAGAUGUGGAGGAAUACCGAUGGCGAAGGC